UACGAAGGGGGCUAGCGUUGUUCGGAUUUACUGGGCGUAAAGCGCACGUAGGCGGCGAUCUAAGUCAGAGGUGAAAGCCCGGGGCUCAACCCCGGAACUGCCUUUGAGACUGGAUUGCUAGAAUCACGGAGAGGUGGGUGGAAUUCCGAGUGUAGAGGUGAAAUUCGUAGAUAUUCGGAAGAACACCAGUGGCGAAGGCGGCCCACUGGACGUGUAUUGACGCUGAGGUGCGAAAGCGUGGGGAGCAAACAGG
Molecule: ribosomal RNA, 253 nt
Filed under: uncultured bacterium
Lineage: Bacteria
Description: partial 16S ribosomal RNA
Rfam family: Bacterial small subunit ribosomal RNA
Source: RNAcentral